CGGCUGCAACGGGAGAAAAUCCGUGAGGAGCGACGUCGAGAGAGGGAGAGGGAAAGAAGGUUGGAAGCAAAAGAUGCUGCCAUGGGUAAGAAAAGCAAAAUUACAAGAGAUAGAGAUCGUGACAUCAGUGAGAAGGUUGCUCUUGGUAUGGCUUCAACUGGUGCUGGCAGAGGAGAGGUCAUGUAUGACCAGAGGUUGUUCAACCAAGAGAAAGGGAUGGACUCUGGGUUUGCAACAGAUGAUCAGUAGAAAGUGUAGGCUGAGCUGUAAAGA
Molecule: unclassified non-coding RNA, 273 nt
Filed under: Hevea brasiliensis (rubber tree)
Lineage: Eukaryota; Viridiplantae; Streptophyta; Magnoliopsida; Malpighiales; Euphorbiaceae
Source: RNAcentral